UUGUAGCUCAGCCGGAUAGAGCAUCUGCCUUCUAAGCAGAGGGUCGGGGGUUCGAGUCCCUUCA
This 64-nucleotide transfer RNA is filed under the name human gut metagenome. It matches the Rfam family "tRNA", at positions 6 to 65 of the family's 71-position model. From Rfam's summary of the family: Transfer RNA (tRNA) molecules are approximately 80 nucleotides in length. Their secondary structure includes four short double-helical elements and three loops (D, anti-codon, and T loops). Further hydrogen bonds mediate the characteristic L-shaped molecular structure. tRNAs have two regions of fundamental functional importance: the anti-codon, which is responsible for specific mRNA codon recognition, and the 3' end, to which the tRNAs corresponding amino acid is attached (by aminoacyl-tRNA synthetases). tRNAs cope with the degeneracy of the genetic code in two manners: having more than one tRNA (with a specific anti-codon) for a particular amino acid; and 'wobble' base-pairing, i.e. permitting non-standard base-pairing at the 3rd anti-codon position. The record is from RNAcentral.